UUAAGAUAGCUUGGCCAUCAACAACACAGAUAAUCAAAUGUCUUGAUGUGGAAAUGUCAUAAGUUAGCAAGGUAAGGGGAGGCCUAAGAUAACGUGGAGAGAAAUAGCAUAAAAGGAUUUACAAGUCUUGGAUACUGAUGCAGACCUGGUGUCUAAGAGAGUUGAAUGGCGAAAAAUAUUCCAUAUAACCGACCCCAACUAGUUUGGAAUCAUAGCUUAGUUGUCAUUGCUGUUGUUAAAAUGAAUUCUUAUUUUAAGUUAAAAAAAUUGAAUUCUUUCAACUAUUAGGUUUUUCAAAGAUAAGAAUUGA
Molecule: unclassified non-coding RNA, 310 nt
Filed under: Hevea brasiliensis (rubber tree)
Lineage: Eukaryota; Viridiplantae; Streptophyta; Magnoliopsida; Malpighiales; Euphorbiaceae
Source: RNAcentral